RNAcentral lists this ribosomal RNA (465 nucleotides) under uncultured bacterium. Its description in RNAcentral is "partial 16S ribosomal RNA". It matches the Rfam family "Bacterial small subunit ribosomal RNA", at positions 339 to 795 of the family's 1533-position model. The record is from RNAcentral.
CUACGGGAGGCAGCAGUGGGGAAUAUUGGACAAUGGGGGAAACCCUGAUCCAGCAAUGCCGCGUGUGUGAAGAAGGCCUGCGGGUUGUAAAGCACUUUCGGUUGGGAGGACUGCUUCUAGCACUAAUAUUGUUGGAAGUUGACGUUACCUUCAGAAGAAGCACCGGCUAACUCCGUGCCAGCAGCCGCGGUAAUACGGAGGGUGCAAGCGUUAAUCGGAAUUACUGGGCGUAAAGCGCGCGUAGGCGGCUAGAUCAGUCGGGUGUGAAAGCCCCGGGCUUAACCUGGGAACUGCAUCCGAUACUGUCUAGCUUGAGUACAGGAGAGGAGAGUGGAAUUCCACAUGUAACGGUGAAAUGCGUAGAUAUGUGGAGGAACACCAAUGGCGAAGGCAGCUCUCUGGCCUGAUACUGACGCUGAGGCGCGAAAGCGUGGGGAGCAAACAGGAUUAGAUACCCCCGUAGUC